ACAGGAAAAUGACCUAUGAAUUGACAGACGAUGUGGCUGAAUUUGUCUGUCACUUCUAUAGGCCAAUAUUCUGU
Molecule: microRNA precursor, 74 nt
Filed under: Dipodomys ordii (Ord's kangaroo rat)
Lineage: Eukaryota; Metazoa; Chordata; Mammalia; Rodentia; Heteromyidae
Description: mir-192/215 microRNA precursor family
Rfam family: mir-192/215 microRNA precursor family
About the family: This family represents the human microRNA (miRNA) precursors mir-192 and mir-215.
Source: Rfam by way of RNAcentral